GACGAAGGAUGCAAGCGUUAUCCGGAUUCAUUGGGUUUAAAGGGAGCGUAGGCGGACUGGUAAGUCAGUGGUGAAAUCUCUCAGCUUAACUGAGAAACUGCCAUUGAUACUGCCGGUCUUGAGUACAGAUGAUGUGGGCGGAAUAUGACAUGUAGUGGUGAAAUACUUAGAUAUGUCAUAGAACACCGAUUGCGAAGGCAGCUCACAAAACUGUAACUGACGCUGAGGCUCGAAAGUGCGGGGAUCAAACAGG
RNAcentral lists this ribosomal RNA (253 nucleotides) under uncultured bacterium. Its description in RNAcentral is "partial 16S ribosomal RNA". It matches the Rfam family "Bacterial small subunit ribosomal RNA", at positions 524 to 776 of the family's 1533-position model. The record is from RNAcentral. RNAcentral also lists the same sequence under 1 other name.